This 468-nucleotide ribosomal RNA is filed under the name uncultured bacterium. RNAcentral's name for it is "partial 16S ribosomal RNA". It matches the Rfam family "Bacterial small subunit ribosomal RNA", at positions 28 to 507 of the family's 1533-position model. The record is from RNAcentral.
GACGAACGCUGGCGGCGUGCUUAACACAUGCAAGUCGAACGGAAAGGCCCUGCUUUUGUGGGGUGCUCGAGUGGCGAACGGGUGAGUAACACGUGAGUAACCUGCCCUUGACUUUGGGAUAACUUCAGGAAACUGGGGCUAAUACCGGAUAGGAGCUCCUGCUGCAUGGUGGGGGUUGGAAAUUUUCGGCGGUUGGGGAUGGACUCGCGGCUUAUCAGCUUGUUGGUGGGGUAGGGGCUUACCAAGGCUUUGACGGGUAGCCGGCCUGAGAGGGUGACCGGCCACAUUGGGACUGCGAUACGGCCCAGACUCCUACGGGAGGCAGCAGUGGGGAAUAUUGCACAAUGGGCGGAAGCCUGAUGCAGCAACGCCGCGUGCGGGAUGACGGCCUUCGGGUUGUAAACCGCUUUCGCCUGUGACGAAGCGUGAGUGACGGUAAUGGGUAAAGAAGCACCGGCUAACUACGUG